RNAcentral lists this ribosomal RNA (492 nucleotides) under uncultured bacterium. RNAcentral describes it as "partial 16S ribosomal RNA". It matches the Rfam family "Bacterial small subunit ribosomal RNA", at positions 29 to 507 of the family's 1533-position model. The record is from RNAcentral.
AGUGAACGCUGGCGGUAGGCCUAACACAUGCAAGUCGAACGGCAGCACAGUAAGAGCUUGCUCUUACGGGUGGCGAGUGGCGGACGGGUGAGGAAUACAUCGGAAUCUACUUUUUCGUGGGGGAUAACGUAGGGAAACUUACGCUAAUACCGCAUACGACCUACGGGUGAAAGCAGGGGAUCUUCGGACCUUGCGCGAUUGAAUGAGCCGAUGUCGGAUUAGCUAGUUGGCGGGGUAAAGGCCCACCAAGGCGACGAUCCGUAGCUGGUCUGAGAGGAUGAUCAGCCACACUGGAACUGAGACACGGUCCAGACUCCUACGGGAGGCAGCAGUGGGGAAUAUUGGACAAUGGGCGCAAGCCUGAUCCAGCCAUACCGCGUGGGUGAAGAAGGCCUUCGGGUUGUAAAGCCCUUUUGUUGGGAAAGAAAAGCAGCAGGUUAAUACCCCGCUCUUCUGACGGUACCCAAAGAAUAAGCACCGGCUAACUUCGUG